AAAAAGAGGAAGAAGAAAAGAAAAGAUGCGUGAUUCACUUUGAAAAUGCAACUGCUUAAAUUCUUCUCUACUGGCUUUUCUGAAGGAAGCUACUGCGUAGUACAAUGUUUGUUAUAUAUGAUGAACAAUUGGUGCGAAGUUUAUCUACUGUUCCAUAGGAAACUGCAUAUGUAUGGAUCAGGAACUUGUUAGAGGCGUCAGCAUGAGGAAGAAUUGAAAUUAUUGGAAGAGGAAA
Long non-coding RNA from Neltuma alba, 235 nucleotides. RefSeq lists it as uncharacterized. The record is from RefSeq and is a predicted model, not a curated record. The transcript has 3 exons. NCBI's taxonomy places the organism in Eukaryota, Viridiplantae, Streptophyta, Magnoliopsida, Fabales, Fabaceae.